Molecule: long non-coding RNA, 5305 nt
Filed under: Sus scrofa (pig)
Lineage: Eukaryota; Metazoa; Chordata; Mammalia; Artiodactyla; Suidae
Description: lncRNA (ENSSSCG00045015356.1)
Source: RNAcentral
ACCUCCAUAAUGUUCUCCAGAGUGGUUAUACCAGCUUACAUUCCCACCAACAGUGUAAGAGUAUGCCCUUUUCUCUGCACCCUCUCCAGCACUUAUUGUUUGUAGACUUUUUGAUGAUGGUCAUUCUGACUGGUGUGAGGUGAUACCUUAUUAUAGAUUUGAUUUGCAUUUCUCUAAUGAUUAGUGAUGUUCAUCAUCUUUUGAUGUGCUUUUUGGCUACUCUGUCUUCUGUGGAGAAAUGAUAUCAAAACUAGCUAUUGUGAGAAAGGAAAAGUAGGAUAUUGAAAAUGUAUUUGAAAUUAAGGAAACAGCAACUUGAAAGCAUCUUGCAUAUAUACAGAAUGCUAUAUCGAAACCUCAUGGGAAUGACUAACUAAAAGAGAACAACAGACACACACAUUUAAAAAAGAAAAAGAAAUCCAACCACAACACUAAAGAUAGUCAUCAAAUCACAGGAGAAGAGAACAAAAGAGGAGGGGAAGAAAGAAGUCUAACAUCAACAAAUCCAAAACAAUUCAAAAAUGGCAAUAUGAACAUAUAUAUCAGUAAUUACCUUGAGUGUAAAUGGAUUAAAUGCUCCAACCAACUGAAAAACACAGGCUGGCUGAAUGGAUACAAAAACAAGGCCCAUAUAUAUACUGUCAACAAGAGACCUACUUCAGAUCUAUGGACACUCAAGAAUGAAGGUGAGAGGAUAGAAGAAGACAUUACAUGCAAAUGGAAAUCAAAAGAAAGCUGGAGUAGCACUCCUCACAUUAGCUACAUUUUAAUUUAAUCACCUCUUUAAAGACCUUCUCUUUUCUUUAACAGCUCAAUUUUAUUUUUAAAAAUUUUUAUUAUAGUUGAUUUACAAUGUUCUGUCAAUUUCUGCUCUACACGAAAGUGACCCAGUUUUAUAGAUAGAUAGAUAGAUAGAUAGAUAGAUAGAUAAUGCAUCUCAUAAUAGGAAGAGUGACUCAAAACCAAGCUUUGACUCCAAAGCCAAAAAUCUUAACUAUUUAGCUAUCCUCAGAGGUGACUCUUACACUAUUCAGGGUGAUAAAACCACCAACAUUUUUAGACUUAUCAUCACAGCCAAUCAUACAGUGUUCCCACUGAUCUAUGAAAUUCUUUCACAUGAUAUGAUGAAGCACUGAGCUCAUACCAAUAACAUUUUUUACUGCUUUAUUAUUUACCCCACCAUUUACAAGCAGCUGGCUUUAGAAGAAGACUCAGCUGUGAUACCAGCUAGGGAAUAACUUAUUUCUGUUUUGGGGUGUUUUUUAUUCAGCCUUCACUCCUAUCUUCAUUUGCUUACUCAACAAAUAUUUACUGCGUGUCUGCUACAUUAUGGGCAUUUUUCUAAGCACUUUAGAAACAUCAAUCAAUUUAAUUUUCAUAACACAUGAAGGACCUCAUGAUUCUUCCUUUAUAGGUGAGAAGCCAAGGCUUAAAAAGAGAUUAAGUAACUUGCCAACAAUCACUUAAGAGGUGGUGCCAAGGUUUGAAGAGGGCAUCUUGAAGGCAGCCUCACUCCAGACCUUCACCCAUACUUUAGAUUUUUCUUCCUUGCUAGCUGUUAAAGUGUCUUAAGAUUGAUAAUUACCAACUACUUUUUUUUUAAAGAAGAGUAAAUAUGGUUAUUACUAACUUAGAGCUCUAUUUUUCCUCUCCUAUUACAUAUAAUGUGAAACAGUUGCAGUUACAGUUCCUAUUUAAUCCACACAUUUUGGAACAGUAAAUACACCUGUGAGUUUUCUGGUUCACAUUUGGGAACUAGGAGCUAAGACUUCACCUUAGAAAUAAUGGAGAAGAUCUUUGAGCCAAAAAGGAUACAAUUAAAACAGCGCUAUAAAGCAUGAGGGGAUGGAUCAGGAAUUUUGAGAAAUCUCAGGAAAAUCAAACACAGAUAGGAUUGAGUCAAUGGAGAAACUAUAGCAGAAGAAAACAACCUCAGAUAACAAAGGCGAGCAUGGUUCUUUCUAUGAGAGACUUUAAGAAGGUGAAGUCAUACCAGCAAGUGCAAAGAGCAACUGCACUCAAAAUAUUAUUCAAUAACUAUAUUCAGACUGUCUACAUUGGGGACCAUCUCUACUCCUUACCUAGAGUUACCAAUGAUCUCAAGCUAAAAUCUAAGUAAUGUUCAUUAAAGGAAGAUGGGGAUGAGACUGCUAGUAAGGGUGUAAAGAGAAUCAGUGCAUCCUUGGGGCUGGAUGUGGAUGUUUGCAGCAGCGAGGUCUUUGAGGAACACUCCUUACUUACACCACCUUACACCACUGCCUGCUUGUGUGUGUGUGUGUGUGUGUGUGUGUGUGUGUUAGAGUGAUGUCUGAAUAGGACCAAAAUGGGGCUAAGGGAGAUAUGAACAUUAUUAGGAGGUUGUGGCUUUUGAGACCAGCCUGUAACUUUGGUAGCUCUGGAAGCAGAUGGGACUUUGGAUUGCAAUGCUAUUGGGAGGCCAUAGGUAGGUCCAUAAUUGACGCACAAUAUUUAGAUAGUAUCAGGCAGGGACAUGCUUGGCAUCAUAAAUGUAGGACAUGUGCAUGUCACUCCAGGGCUGAAUGGCACUAGAUGUAUCAGUCAAAGUGCCUGCCAUGCCUCCUUCCUCUCUGCUAAAACUGCCAUACCCAGAAGUAAGCAUAAAGGCUGCUUUCUUGACGGAUGAAGAAAGUAGCUCUAAAUUGGUCUUUGUACAGGCACUAUCAAUGAUUGGUCUACAGUCAAUCAAUAGCCUUCUCAGUGGUCCAUGGUGUGACCCAGUACUAAGAAUCAAAGGAACUCAAUCAAAUUAUUUUUCUCAGGAAUUUGAACUCAGAAUAUGGAGAGAUUUGGCUGGAAGCCAACAAUGUCAGAAUUGCUGUGAAAGAUCCACAGACUGUGACCAUCAGAUCCCUGGAGCCUGUAGAGUCCACAGCUGUCCUCCAGCUCCAGUUUCCCAAGGCCUGGCCCAUUAGACAUCCUGUGCUUGAUUUCCAAAGGAUUCUAUCUCCAUUGUUGGAAUAGGGGUACCUUUCCAACAAAUUCUUUCUUUACUGGAGCUAGCCUGAGACUCUUUUGUGCAACCCAAACCACUCUAAUUGAGAGAGAAGCCUGCCAACUGUGUUCAUUUUGCAUUAAGGAGGGAAGAGAGACCUAGCGACUGCUGUUCCCUGGGUCAGUGGAAUGAGCUGGUUCUGAUCUAGGUGCACCACCUCAGCUCACACCACAAGAACUGGCAGCUUGAGACAGUUUUUUCAAGAAAAGAAGAUUUUUUCUUAAAUUUCUUAUUUUUUUUCCUCUUUGAAAGAUUAUUGGACUACUGGGUUGAAGGUCUCAAGAUAUAUUUCAAUACCUCCAGUUUUCUAAAACAAGUUUAGGAGCAAAUUAAAAAGAAAUAACUUUUAAGUUCUCAUUAAUGAUAGCCUUAUUUUUCAGAUCCAGAAACAAUAGAAUCUAUACUAAAUGUAAACCUUCAAAACUGAGAAAAACAAAGAUCUGUGGAGGUCAGAUUGACCUCCCUCCUUUUUCUGUUAACUCUUGCUCCUGGAGAGCCCUUCCUAGGAAGCCUGGGAAAGAGAAAAGCAACCUCCUAAGGUAGGAAAGUGGACUGAAAUCACCUUCAGGCAAGCCUUGGUCUCCUCUUGUUGAACUUAAAAAUUUCAUAAAACAUUGACAUCAAGUAAGGCCACUCUGUGAAUGUGAUGGAUCAAGUUAAAAAUAGGACCAUUCUGCAAUCAUGCCUGAAUACAGACAAAACAUAAACAUUGUCCAAACCACAAAAAUGAUCAAAUGUUUCCCACCUACCUAAAUUAGCUUUAAGAUACUGAAUCAUAGAAUUAUUAACCUCACUUUCUGAUAACCUCCAAUUUAAAGACCACUCUCUUAAGCUCUUUUCAAAAUCACCUAACACAAGGCCAAUAUUUUCUAGUCUUUUCUAAUCUUUCUAACAACUUCUUAGUGCGAUGCCCCACACUUGUCCAUGGAGUGUGUUCUCCUGCCCUAAAGAAGUAAUAAACCCAACGUGUUCAACAACAGAUGUGUUCCUGAUGGUGUUGGGCUGGAGGAUUUUGAAAAGACUUUGGAAUGUCAUGUUUCUCUCUCCACUCCUAUCAUUACAUGUCAAGAUGGUCAAAAAGCAGCUCCUGGGACUAACUUUCCUGGUCCCAGCAAUAAAUUCCAAGGCUUAACAGGCUCUUACUACCUGCCAGGUGCUUUACAUGAAUGAUGCACUUUAUUUAUUUAUUUAUUUAUUUAUUUGCCAAACCAUUGGCAUUUGGAAUUUCUCCAGCCAGAGAUCAAACCCACACAAGAGCACACACCUGAGCUGCUGUGGUGACAAUGCCAGAUCUUUAACCUGCUGUACCACAAAGGACCUCCUACAGUAACUCAACAAAGGUCACAACACAACUAAGGGGCUGAGCCAGGAGUCCAAGAUGGCCAGCUGAGCCAGUGUGAGGGUUCCAAUGUCCACAGCGUGCUGCCUCCCAUGGCACUGGUCUACAUGCUUUCAGGCAUCACUGGUAUACAGUCACUGGUCACUAUGCCAUUAGGCUAUGUUGAAGGGCACUCUAAUAAACGGCCCCAGGAUAUCACUGCUGGGUUUCCUGUAAGCCAUCAGAGAAUGCACACCCACAGGAAAAAAAAAUCUCUCUAAUCACAGUACCAGAAAUAACUGAGCUUCUGUGAAGCAGUUGGAUUUUUUUUUCACCCUAGUGAAGGCAGCAAUCAUAUAAUUCAGAGAUUUCUACCUCAUUUUAAGAAAAGUACAGGAUGAUUUUAAGUCAAACCUAACCAAGAAACAUAUUCUCUUUGAGUUUUAGUUUCAAUUUUACCAAUGUGGCCAAAAGAGCAUUCCCACUUGGUAGUAAUAGGACUACUGCUUAUUUUUUCGGAAAGCUGGAGGCUGAGGCACAGAGGCUUAGAAGGUAAUAAUAAUAUCAAGCAAGAGCUCAAUGACUUAGCCUCAUUUUAUUUAUUUUUGUAAUUACCUUCCAUUUAUAGCUGACUAUACUGAUUUUCCAUUUAUAAAUGAUAUAAAGUUUCCUUUAAAAAUUAUUUCAGUAAAAAGUUGAGUCCCUUUAAGAGAAAAUGUUAAAUAAAUAGUGGUACAGGUGGUAGGAUACCAAACAAGGAAACAAAAAUCAUGAAGGUGUUCUGGGAAACCGUGACUUCAGUUUCCUCUUUGCCUUGGAUGCUGGAAAGACAGCGCUCAGUUCUUCAGUCAUUGCUCUCAAGGGUGCAGUUCUCCCCUCCAUGAAUUUCUCCUUCUAAUCUAACGCCUGGCUGUAUCUUCCAUAUCCUCCGCACUGCCCCCUCUGCCUUUUUGACUUGCCACCCUAUUUCCUUU